Mercenaria mercenaria is the source of this 2573-nucleotide long non-coding RNA. RefSeq lists it as uncharacterized. NCBI's taxonomy places the organism in Eukaryota, Metazoa, Mollusca, Bivalvia, Venerida, Veneridae. The transcript has 2 exons. The record is from RefSeq and is a predicted model, not a curated record.
UCUUAUGCUCCAAUAUCAAGGUCAGUAUUCAACUCACAAAAUGAAGAGGUCACCAGCAGCAUAUCAAAGGUCUCUAGAGCCUCACCAGUACACCCUCAGUCCUUACAUUGUGUAACAAAAUUCAUUAUACAAAUAGACUAACAACAUUUGUUAACAUAUUUUUUCUUCUUUAGAUAAAAAAGUAGGAAUAGUAGGAGUUUUUUCAAAAAAAGUAGGAAAAAGUAGGAACAGACCUAAAAAGUAGGAAAAGUAGGAAAAAGUAGGACUACUUGAAAGCCUGUAUAUACAUUUAAUCAUAUUGGUCAUUUUACUACUAAUCCUUGUUUGAAUCAAUUUAUGCCAUGAAAGGCUCUUUGGUAGUCCACAAACAAACACCAUAAAUAGACCAGUUUCCCAAUACGUUAUGCGUACUAUUUAUAGAUUUCACGUGACCCGAAAUAUCCAAAACGCGGCUCGAUGUGAUAGUUUCCUGUUUGACAUUAUAAACAAUGGCGAGUGUUACUGAUAAAUAUUUGAGCUUUUCUACACACGAUUUACAGGAAUUAAACGUAAAACAACUGAAGCAAUUACUUUAGACUGUUAAUGAAAGUACUUUGGAAAGAAAGCGUCUUUAGUUUCACGCUUAUAUAUUCAUAUUUGCCGAGUAAACAGUAGUGGAACUGACGACCCAAAACUCGCGGAAGUAAACAAAGGACGAAUUGACAUUAAUAUUCCGAGGGAAAGUACGUUUAGUGAUUUGACAGUUUUAGCAGGAGAUGCUGUUUGGACGUCCGACUUGAGAAACCUCCCCGAGGUUAACUUUCACCAGUUGUAUGAUUACUUGGUUGUGAAAACAUCAAAGUGUGUACAAACAACAAGAGCUGUCAGUGGACAGCGCGCUCGACUAUUCUCACUGCCUGAUAGUAUAAUAUAAGCAAUGUGUAAAACUUUAACAUUACAAUAAGCAUAUUCUAAGUCAAAAAGGGGCCAUAACUCAGUCAAAAUGCUUGAUAGCGUUGCUUCCUCCUUUUUACAGACUGGGGUCAUGAUGGUAAACAAUUAUGCAAAAUAUGAAAGCAAUACCUCAAUUGACCUUGAAAAUAUUUGGGGCGGUACGCAAACUUUAACAUUUAUUCAAAGUCGAAAAGGGGCCAUAAUUCAGUCAAAAUGCUUGAUAGAGUUGCUUCCUCCUUUUUACAGACUGGGGUCAUGAUGGUAAACAAGUAUGCAAAAUAUGAAAGCAAUAUCUCAAUUGACUUUGAAAAUAUUUGGGGCGGUACGCAAACUUUAACAUUUAUUCAAAGUCGAAAAGGGGCCAUAAUUCAGUCAAAAUGCUUGAUAGAGUUGCUUCCUCCUUUUUACAGACUGGGGUCAUGAUGGUAAACAAUUAUGCAAAAUAUGAAUACUUAAUAGAGUUGCCUCCUCCUUUUUACAGACUGGGGUCAUGAUGGUAAACAAGUAUGCAAAAUAUGAAAGCAAUAUCUCAAUUGACUUUGAAAAUAUUUGGGGCGGUACGCAAACUUUAACAUUUAUUCAAAGUCGAAAAGGGGCCAUAAUUCAGUCAAAAUGCUUGAUAGAGUUGCUUCCUCCUUUUUACAGACUGGGGUCAUGAUGGUAAACAAGUAUGCAAAAUAUGAAAGCAAUAUCUCAAUGGACAUUGAAAAUAUUUGGGGUGGUACGCAAACUUUAACAUUUGUGUGACGCUCACGCCGAUGCCAGGGCGAGUAGGAUAGCUCCCCUAUUCUUUGAAUAGUCGAGCUAAAAAUGUAACUUUAUAUAGUAAAGGCAAAAGUGAUUGCUUCAAUGAAGAAGGUAAAAUACAAUGUUGUUGUUGUAUACAGUGAACUUGCAGAUGUGCUUCAUGCAGCAUGUGAAUGUCCUGCUGGACUGGGUCCAACUGGGGAGGGCAAGUGCAACCAUAUAGGUGGGCUUCUGUUUUGUGUGGAAGAUUUCAGUAGAAAGCGUUUACAGAAAGCCCCUGAAGCUGUAACAUGCAUCAGGAAGCUGGAAUGUGCCCAGAGACCUGAAAGUUAGUUCCACUGAACUUCCAGAUAUGAAAAUAAAAAAGCUUGUUCACGGAAAGAGGCAGGACACAAAACCAUCCGUAACCUUGUAUGAUCCACGUGCACCGGUUGACCGUUUUGUAGAUGUUCCUGCACUAAGGACUCUAUAUGAUGAUUUAGAAGACUGUAUGCCAGCAUCUGGCUUCUUUCUCUUUCAUGAUGACCCAGAAGAUAUACAACAUGAGGAGAUAACCCUUGAAGAGAGCAUACUUGUUAGUGAAAAUGUUGAGGUUACUGCAACAUUAAAUUAUUGUGAAAGUAACAGUGCUAAAAAAGACAGGAUUGAACAAAAUUUGGUAAAAAUGUUUUCAGUGGAGGGUAUUAAUGUCCCAGAGAACACUGAUAUUGACAGUGAGGAAACGGAAUCAGCCGUUUAUGAUUAUGUGAAAAAACUGAAUGCUGAUAACUCUGUAAUAGAUGCCAUUGAAACCAGGACAAAAGACCAGUUACAAUGUAAACUUUGGAAUGACCUCCAUAAGACAAUGCUAACUUCAUCAAACUUUGGUAAAGUAAUUAAAUGUAAAAACAAGA